GGAUAUGAGGGGACACUGGCAGAAACCCGUCAGAUCCCACUGAUCACCAAGGCAGCCGGUCUGAUCAUCGGGCCAGGUGGGUGUCCCGUCUUCUUCCACCAUCCAUUUCAAUACCAUUUCUAUACUUGAAGUGACAAGUUUUGAAAAGAAUGACUUCCCACAGUGAGAAGGACCAGUCAUCGGUCUAGGAUAGAUAAAUAGGAGGCAGCACCUUUGACAGUAUAGGGAAUGCAGAAAAAGGAGCAGAGUCGUAAGGGCAGGAAGAAGUCAUGUUUCAGUUU
RNAcentral lists this small RNA (281 nucleotides) under Choloepus hoffmanni (Hoffmann's two-fingered sloth). RNAcentral's name for it is "7SK RNA (ENSCHOG00000016070.1)". Lineage: Eukaryota; Metazoa; Chordata; Mammalia; Pilosa; Megalonychidae. The record is from RNAcentral.